AUUGAACGCUGGCGGCAUGCCUUACACAUGCAAGUCGAACGGUAACGGGCCUUCGGGUGCCGACGAGUGGCAAACGGGUGAGUAAUACAUCGGAACGUGCCCGAUCGUGGGGGAUAACGAGGCGAAAGCUUUGCUAAUACCGCAUACGAUCUACGGAUGAAAGCAGGGGACCGCAAGGCCUUGCGCGGACGGAGCGGCCGAUGGCAGAUUAGGUAGUUGGUGGGAUAAAAGCUUACCAAGCCGACGAUCUGUAGCUGGUCUGAGAGGAUGAUCAGCCACACUGGGACUGAGACACGGCCCAGACUCCUACGGGAGGCGGCAGUGGGGAAUUUUGGACAAAGGGCGCAAGCCUGAUCCAGCCAUGCCGCGUGCAGGAUGAAGGCCUUCGGGUUGUAAACUGCUUUUGUACGGAACGAAAAGCCUUCUUUUAAUACAGGAGGGUCAUGACGGUACCGUAAGAAUAAGCACCGGCUAACUACGUG
RNAcentral lists this ribosomal RNA (482 nucleotides) under uncultured bacterium. Its description in RNAcentral is "partial 16S ribosomal RNA". It matches the Rfam family "Bacterial small subunit ribosomal RNA", at positions 30 to 507 of the family's 1533-position model. The record is from RNAcentral.